CCAAAAUCACUCUGUCCCUCUAAAAUCUCUCAGAAAAUCGCAAAAGUGUAUUGAAUUGUAUCGUUUGCUGAAUAUAGCAAUAUAUAUAUCGUAUUGUGAGCAGAAUAUCGUGUAUCAUAUCGUGAGAUUAUUGUAUCACUACAGCCCUAAAAGUUGGGUAGUAAUU
Poecilia latipinna (sailfin molly) is the source of this 166-nucleotide long non-coding RNA. RefSeq lists it as uncharacterized. The transcript is spliced from 3 exons. NCBI's taxonomy places the organism in Eukaryota, Metazoa, Chordata, Actinopteri, Cyprinodontiformes, Poeciliidae. The record is from RefSeq and is a predicted model, not a curated record.